This 1193-nucleotide long non-coding RNA is filed under the name Sus scrofa (pig). RNAcentral's name for it is "lncRNA (ENSSSCG00025027193.1)". The record is from RNAcentral. Lineage: Eukaryota; Metazoa; Chordata; Mammalia; Artiodactyla; Suidae.
CCUGCUUGCCCUUGGGCAGGUCAUUUGCCUUGAACAGAUUUCUGAAUAAGAAAAUCCCUUUCCCUUUUAUCACGUUUGAGAAGAUCGUGACAGACACGCGUCUGUUUACACGGCCAUGCAGGCCUGUUUUGCUCAUCCCUUGGCAAACUGCCACCCAGUGAUGAAUUUCAGAGGCGUAAGAAUGUGGCUGAAAGCAAGAAUGUGGGCACAGGCUCCCGCUGAGGUCACCACAUGCGAGAUAUUCCAAAAGCAUUGCUCAGUUAUAAGAGAAGACGAUUAAAAAAAGCCGUGCAGGAGAAUGGAAGAAGCUAAAUAUAUCUCAGCCUCUAACAUCAUGUCAAUGAAAAGUAAAAUUUACCAAUUGGAUAACACACGUGUCUUGCACUGACCACUGUCUAUACUUGGAGUUGGUAGUUUUCAUUGAUCGAAUGCUGCCAAGUCCGUGAUAUUUCUAGCUAUUACCUCCAAUUUCUGGAAGGAAAAAGCCAAACAGUGAAUGUCUUAACAGGAGUAAAUGAAAACAGGUGCCAGGAAAACAGAAAGAUGAAUGCUAAGGUCCUAACAUACGGCGACUAGAACUACCUUGGGUACCACAUGGUCCUGUGGAACUGGCCCUCCCUGUAUUGGACAUGUGAGCAUCCUUGCAUUUCUUCUGCAUUUUGUAGCCCUGGAUAUUCCUAGGCAACAUCCUACUAUCAUUUCUCUAUUUCAAAGCGUAAACUUGCUAGCCCGAGGAGCUAUUAGUAUUGUGUUCACUAUUAAAUUCCCUGAUAGAAGUUCCUUAGAAAGCUGGGAAGUCAUUUCAUUUCUGGAGUGGUUUUGUUUUCUCUUGGAGCACAUGAUUGGGGAGGUCAAUUAGGAUUGCCUUUUGGUCCUGGACUCUAAGAACUUCCCUUCCUCUCUUUCUUCUCCCAUCUCUGUCCCCUCUUCCUCCCUCCUACCUUCAUCUAGAGUUUGCCCCAUUUAGGAGAAAGGGUGGAGUUAGCUCUGAUCCCUGUGCUGGAGGACUUGCAAAUGAGAGGGAAGGAGGGAGGGAGGGUAAUGAGUGAUCCAGAGAGGGGGAAAGAGGGAAGCAGCAUUUGAGCCGAGGCUUGAAGGCUUGGUAGGACUCUGGCAGGUGGAUGAGGACAGGGACGGAUGCUGGGGUGGACAGGAUGGUGGGAGGAAGUGGCAGAGGUGUGGGCGGGCGUGAG